Molecule: ribosomal RNA, 250 nt
Filed under: uncultured prokaryote
Description: partial 16S ribosomal RNA
Rfam family: Bacterial small subunit ribosomal RNA
Source: RNAcentral
UACGGAGGAUGCGAGCGUUAUCCGGAUUUAUUGGGUUUAAAGGGUGCGCAGGCGGAUCGUUAAGUCAGCGGUGAAAUGUCCCGGCUCAACCGGGGCCCUGCCGUUGAUACUGGCGGACUUGAGUACGGACGGCGCCGGCGGAAUGUGCAGUGUAGCGGUGAAAUGCUUAGAUAUUGCACAGAACACCGAUCGCGAAGGCAGCUGGCGAGGCCGGAACUGACGCUCAGGCACGAAAGCGUGGGGAUCAAAC